UACGUAGGGAGCAAGCGUUGUCCGGAAUCAUUGGGCGUAAAGCGCGCGUAGGUGGCUUCGUAAGUCCGUUGUGAAAGUCAAAGGCUCAACCUUUGAAAGCCGAUGGAUACUGCGGAGCUAGAGUACGGAAGAGGCGAGUGGAAUUCCUGGUGUAGCGGUGAAAUGCGCAGAUAUCAGGAGGAACACCGGUGGCGAAGGCGGGUCUCUGGGCCGAUACUGACGCUGAGGAGCGAAAGCGUGGGGAGCGAACAGG
This 253-nucleotide ribosomal RNA is filed under the name uncultured bacterium. Its description in RNAcentral is "partial 16S ribosomal RNA". It matches the Rfam family "Bacterial small subunit ribosomal RNA", at positions 524 to 776 of the family's 1533-position model. The record is from RNAcentral.